GCCCAGCUGGCUCAGUCGGUGGAGCGUGAGGCUCUUGAUCUUGGGGUGUGAGUUUGAGCCCCGUGUUGGGGG
Molecule: transfer RNA, 72 nt
Filed under: Ailuropoda melanoleuca (giant panda)
Lineage: Eukaryota; Metazoa; Chordata; Mammalia; Carnivora; Ursidae
Rfam family: tRNA
About the family: Transfer RNA (tRNA) molecules are approximately 80 nucleotides in length. Their secondary structure includes four short double-helical elements and three loops (D, anti-codon, and T loops). Further hydrogen bonds mediate the characteristic L-shaped molecular structure. tRNAs have two regions of fundamental functional importance: the anti-codon, which is responsible for specific mRNA codon recognition, and the 3' end, to which the tRNAs corresponding amino acid is attached (by aminoacyl-tRNA synthetases). tRNAs cope with the degeneracy of the genetic code in two manners: having more than one tRNA (with a specific anti-codon) for a particular amino acid; and 'wobble' base-pairing, i.e. permitting non-standard base-pairing at the 3rd anti-codon position.
Source: Rfam by way of RNAcentral